GAASGGUGCAAGCGUUACUCGGAAUUACUGGGCGUAAAGCGUGCGUAGGUGGUUUGUUAAGUCUGUCGUGAAAUCCCCGGGCUCAACCUGGGAAUGGCGAUGGAUACUGGCAAGCUAGAGUGAGGUAGAGGAGAGUGGAAUUCCCGGUGUAGCAGUGAAAUGCGUAGAGAUCGGGAGGAACAUCAGUUGCGAAGGCGGCUCUCUGGACCAUCACUGACACUGAGGCACGAAAGCGUGGGGAGCAAACAGGAUUAGAUACCCUGGUAGUCCACGCCCUAAACGAUGCGAACUGGACGUUGGGCUCAAUUAGGAGCUCAGUGUCGAAGCUAACGCGUUAAGUUCGCCGCCUGGGGAGUACGGUCGCAAGACUG
RNAcentral lists this ribosomal RNA (371 nucleotides) under uncultured bacterium. RNAcentral's name for it is "bacterial SSU rRNA". It matches the Rfam family "Bacterial small subunit ribosomal RNA", at positions 527 to 896 of the family's 1533-position model. The record is from RNAcentral.